RNAcentral lists this long non-coding RNA (494 nucleotides) under Pan troglodytes (chimpanzee). RNAcentral's name for it is "long non-coding RNA NONPTRT001144". The record is from RNAcentral. Lineage: Eukaryota; Metazoa; Chordata; Mammalia; Primates; Hominidae.
GCGCAGGACUGCAGGCUGGGGCUCCGCUCCCCCGCGGGAGCCCGCGCGUGGUUCCCAGCGAAGUCCCCGCGCGGCUGGGCCCAGCGUGAGUAUUCUCCGCCCGCUGUCCUCCCCCUGGAGGCGGCAGCGCCCGUUUAUUUGAGGCUUCUAAUGUGAGGAAAAACACGGAAUGACAAGUGUGGGAAAGAGCAAGCACUAAAUUACUGUCAGAAAAAUAAACGGAGUAGCACAGUGCUGCUCGGUGAUUUACGGGGGCAAUUAGUCACCACCCCACGGCGCUGCUGAGGACAGCACAGCAGCAGACAAGUCAGGCCCACGAGGAAGAAGAGGCUUUGCACUGCUCUCCAGACAACUUUUCAAACAACAAGAGAGGAUAUUUGAGCACAUUAGGUUUUGUGUCUUCAUUCUGGCCAUGUGAAGAUGUGCUUGCUUCGCCUUCCAUCAUGACUGAAGUUUCCUGAGGCCUCCCCAGCUAUGCUCCCUAUACAGCCUGC